GAGAAACCCAAAAGAUCGAAUGGGGAGAUUCAUCGUCAGCGGCUCUGGCUUCCGUGCGGUACGCGAUGGCGGGGACCUCGGUCUCGCGUCACGCUGCCGCUGCGGCAUGUCCGGAGUCGUCGGCGUGCACUUCUCCCCUAGUAGGACGUCGCGACCCGUUGGGUGUCGGAUCGAUGGCCGGUCGGUCGUCUGUUGCGCUCGCGCUUCAGACCGAUUCGGUCGAAAGUCCGGCUGCCCGGCGGUAUUGAACGAUAUGAACUGGUAUCGGGCCGCAUCGAAUGCGUUCAGGCUCGUCGGCAGGCUCGUCUCGCUCGGAUUUACGGACCUAGCGCCGUUGCCGGGCGCUUGGCGUGGCUGUUAGUCGACGAUGUCCUCGGACUGGCUCUUACCCGUCGGCGACGCUACUGCUUUGGGUACUUUC
Molecule: ribosomal RNA, 421 nt
Filed under: Hemiptarsenus autonomus
Lineage: Eukaryota; Metazoa; Arthropoda; Insecta; Hymenoptera; Eulophidae
Description: eukaryotic LSU rRNA
Source: RNAcentral